Molecule: unclassified non-coding RNA, 471 nt
Filed under: Fusarium sp. 5704
Lineage: Eukaryota; Fungi; Ascomycota; Sordariomycetes; Hypocreales; Nectriaceae
Description: sequence contains ITS1, 5.8S rRNA gene and ITS2
Rfam family: 5.8S ribosomal RNA (bases 157-310)
Source: RNAcentral
GAUCAUUACCGAGUUUACAACUCCCAAACCCCUGUGAACAUACCACUUGUUGCCUCGGCGGAUCAGCCCGCUCCCGGUAAAACGGGACGGCCCGCCAGAGGACCCCUAAACUCUGUUUCUAUAUGUAACUUCUGAGUAAAACCAUAAAUAAAUCAAAACUUUCAACAACGGAUCUCUUGGUUCUGGCAUCGAUGAAGAACGCAGCAAAAUGCGAUAAGUAAUGUGAAUUGCAGAAUUCAGUGAAUCAUCGAAUCUUUGAACGCACAUUGCGCCCGCCAGUAUUCUGGCGGGCAUGCCUGUUCGAGCGUCAUUUCAACCCUCAAGCACAGCUUGGUGUUGGGACUCGCGUUAAUUCGCGUUCCUCAAAUUGAUUGGCGGUCACGUCGAGCUUCCAUAGCGUAGUAGUAAAACCCUCGUUACUGGUAAUCGUCGCGGCCACGCCGUUAAACCCCCAACUUCUGAAUGUUGACC